Vombatus ursinus (common wombat) is the source of this 2052-nucleotide long non-coding RNA. RefSeq lists it as uncharacterized. NCBI's taxonomy places the organism in Eukaryota, Metazoa, Chordata, Mammalia, Diprotodontia, Vombatidae. The transcript has 3 exons. The record is from RefSeq and is a predicted model, not a curated record.
CUUGCCCAGGGUCAUAUAUCUAGUAUCUGAGGACAGAUUUGAACUCAAGUCUUCCUGACUCUAGGCCCAGUGUUCAAACCAUAGUACCACUGAACGUAUGAAUCACAACUCAUUGUGUUCACAGGGAUAAUACUCAAUAUAUAGGCGAGAUUUACCCUAUUUUUCUCUUCUCCCUUUCCCCAGUUAGCUGCAGACUCUGUUUUCUCAGUCUUCUCUGUCCUCCAUUUCCUCCAAGCUCAUCUUGUUCCCCCAGGGCAGGCCAUUCUGAAUGCUGUCACUAAUUUAGUCUAGCCCCCUCUUUCCCCUUAUUGGGGGAUGGGCAGGAGGCCCUCCUCCCACGCUUGAAAAUCUUCUCCCCUGCCAGUCCCCAUGAUGAGCUCUCCCCUUACCUGGAGGACUCUUCCCCUUCUCCUACUUGCAGGGUCACUAUUGUCAAUCUCAGAAUCUCCUCCCUAGUUUCAGAGUCUCCCCCCCCAUCCUAAAGUUUAUUUCCUAGACCCAGUUUCUCCCAUAAGCCUAAUGUUUCCCUUUUCUCCUUCUUUCCUAAUAUCUCUCAUGAUAUUAGAGUCCCACCAGGAUCUCCCCUAAUCCCAGCCUGGGUCUCACCUGGUUCCUUGUACAACAGGGAGGAAAAGGAACCUCAUGAUUUUUGGUUGUCUCAGCUGGGGGAAGGCAUAGGCAGGGAGGGAUGAUUAACUUUCAAAUCUUUCCCCAGGGCUCUCUUUUUGCCAGUCGAGGAUAGCAUCCCUUCCCCACCUCCCACCUUCCUGAGGGUGUCUCCCCCUGAGUCUUUUCCCUUUUUCUUUUUUCCCCCCCAGAUUUGUUUUCAGGUAAGAUUUUCUAGCCUAAUCUUACCUAUUCCCUCCUCUGUCCUCUUAUCCCUAGUGAACAUGGACCUUUGUCUUGCUGCCCCAGAAUCUACCCCAGACUGUUCCUUCUCCAGAUCUUUGCUCACGGCCUUCCCUCUGCCAUGACCUCAAGAGAAGCAAGCUUGAGAUGCAGCAUAAGUAAGAAGGUUGUCUUGGACUGUGCUGUGACUCCUGGGCUUUCCCAGCACCCUUUUCUGGGCCUCUUCUGGCCCAUUAGCUUGGGUAUGGCGUUCCCUUUCCGGCAAGCUCCAAUUAGGUUAGACCCAGAGAUUACAGAAACUAUAUAGUCACGUUGUGUAGGUUUCAGAAAUGAAUUUAGGGGAGUCAUUUAGGGGAAUACAAAAGAGGAACACUCUAACAAACCCAAGCUAUUUGAGACAUGGGUGACAUCUUUUACUUCCAUGGGUUUUAUCACGUCCUGUCUUGUGUCCUAGUGAUCUGGCUACGGGGUUUAAUCUCCUUUUUGGCUUUUCUAUCUCUCCAAGCUCAGGGCUUCCUCACACACAAUAGCCAUCAAUACAUGGGUAAGGUGGAAAGAGCAGGGAUUCAAAUCGUGACCAGCUGGGUGAGCAAGUUAAAUACUUUCUGUGGAUCUGCUUUCAGGAUUAUAGAUUUCAAGCUGGAAGAGCCAUCUCAGAGGAUGUUAAAAACAGACCUUUUACUUUUAUAGAUGAAGAAACUGAAGGCCUUCCUGAUUCUAAGUUCAGCCUGCUUUCGGAGAUGGGGAAAUGGAGGCACACUUGACCUGCAUACUGAUGAAAGGCUGACCUCAACAAAUGGUUGUUUGGCAAAAAUGGGAAAAGGUAUGUCUAAACACGAAUGGUUCAAGAGCUCACCCACCAUUGACAAAUGCUUUUGGUCGUAUUCCACAUCAAUAAGAAUGGCUUGAUAGACUUCUUUUGCAAUAGUAUGUGGGAGCAUAAUGCUUGAAAUGGAGAAUCUUAUGUUUUGACAACAGGUGGAUAAAAAGCUACACAAAUUUUUAGUACUGUUCAUUACAACUUAUUUAUUGAGAAUAGGACAUUCUGUUGUUCCUGUUACAAAGACAAAAUAACAUUCUUUAUUAGUUGGAAGAAGUCAUGAAGAGUAAUAUCAGCAAUAACAUCACAUUCUGAGAAACUCUGUGCUGACCAAGACCGUACUCAUCACAUUAAUAUUAUUAUUAUUAUGGGCAAUAUUUUAU